RNAcentral lists this ribosomal RNA (459 nucleotides) under uncultured bacterium. RNAcentral's name for it is "bacterial SSU rRNA". It matches the Rfam family "Bacterial small subunit ribosomal RNA", at positions 29 to 524 of the family's 1533-position model. The record is from RNAcentral.
AACGAACGCUGGCGGCAUGCCUAACACAUGCAAGUCGAACGGGAUCCAGGCUUCGGCCUGGUGAGAGUGGCGGACGGGUGAGUAACACGUGGGAACCUGCCUUUUGGUUCGGGAUAACCGCGGGAAACUGCGGCUAAUACCGGAUGCUCCCGAGAGGGGAAAGAUUUAUCGCCAGAAGAGGGGCCCGCGUCCGAUUAGGUAGUUGGUGAGGUAAUGGCUCACCAAGCCGACGAUCGGUAGCUGGUCUGAGAGGAUGAUCAGCCACACUGGGACUGAGAUACGGCCCAGACUCCUACGGGAGGCAGCAGUGGGGAAUAUUGGACAAUGGGGCAACCCUGAUCCAGCAAUGCCGCGUGAGUGAUGAAGGCCUUAGGGUUGUAAAGCUCUUUUGCCAGGGAAGAUGAUGACUGUACCUGGAGAAUAAGCUCCGGCUAACUCCGUGCCAGCAGCCGCGGUAAU